GGAGAGGUCGCAUAGUGGCCGAGUGCGUCGGUCUUGAAAACCGAUAGGGUAGCAAUACUCUCGUGGGUUCGAAUCCCACUCUCUCCG
This 87-nucleotide transfer RNA is filed under the name Candidatus Woesebacteria bacterium. Its description in RNAcentral is "tRNA-Ser". It matches the Rfam family "tRNA". Rfam says of the family: Transfer RNA (tRNA) molecules are approximately 80 nucleotides in length. Their secondary structure includes four short double-helical elements and three loops (D, anti-codon, and T loops). Lineage: Bacteria; Candidatus Woeseibacteriota. The record is from RNAcentral.